This 254-nucleotide ribosomal RNA is filed under the name uncultured bacterium. Its description in RNAcentral is "partial small subunit ribosomal RNA". It matches the Rfam family "Bacterial small subunit ribosomal RNA", at positions 26 to 285 of the family's 1533-position model. The record is from RNAcentral.
AGGACGAACGCUGGCGGCGUGCUUAACACAUGCAAGUCGAGCGGAAAGGCCCUUCGGGGUACUCGAGCGGCGAACGGGUGAGUAACACGUGGGUAAUCUGCCCCUAGCUCUGGGAUAGCUCCGGGAAACCGGGAUUAAUACCAGAUACAACCACUUUAGACAUCUCUUGUGGUGGAAAGAAUUUCGGCUAGGGAUGAACUCGCGGCCUAUCAGCUUGUUGGUGAGGUAACGGCUCACCAAGGCGACGACGGGUA